GGACGAUUAGCUCAGUUGGUUAGAGCGCUGGCCUCACAUGCCAGAGGUCACUGGUUCAAGUCCAGUAUCGUCCACCA
Molecule: transfer RNA, 77 nt
Filed under: Candidatus Rokuibacteriota bacterium
Lineage: Bacteria; Candidatus Rokuibacteriota
Also listed under: 1 other name
Description: tRNA-Val
Rfam family: tRNA
About the family: Transfer RNA (tRNA) molecules are approximately 80 nucleotides in length. Their secondary structure includes four short double-helical elements and three loops (D, anti-codon, and T loops). Further hydrogen bonds mediate the characteristic L-shaped molecular structure. tRNAs have two regions of fundamental functional importance: the anti-codon, which is responsible for specific mRNA codon recognition, and the 3' end, to which the tRNAs corresponding amino acid is attached (by aminoacyl-tRNA synthetases). tRNAs cope with the degeneracy of the genetic code in two manners: having more than one tRNA (with a specific anti-codon) for a particular amino acid; and 'wobble' base-pairing, i.e. permitting non-standard base-pairing at the 3rd anti-codon position.
Source: RNAcentral